This 1995-nucleotide ribosomal RNA is filed under the name Synsphyronus apimelus. RNAcentral's name for it is "SSU rRNA". It matches the Rfam family "Eukaryotic small subunit ribosomal RNA". Lineage: Eukaryota; Metazoa; Arthropoda; Arachnida; Pseudoscorpiones; Garypidae. The record is from RNAcentral.
CUCGUAGUCAUAUGCUUGUCUCAAAGAUUAAGCCAUGCAUGUCUAAGUACACGCCCCAGCAAGGCGAAACCGCGAAUGGCUCAUUAAAUCAGUUAUGGUUCCUUAGAUCGUACACGUUUACUUGGAUAACUGUGGUAAUUCUAGAGCUAAUACAUGCAUCUGGGCCCUCGACCCUUCCCCAAGGGGAGAGGGUGCUUUUAUUAGACCAAGACCAGACGGGCUUGUCCCGAACGUCGUGGUGACUCUGGAUAACUCUAGCGGAUCGCACGGUCCUCGUACCGGCGACGUAUCUUUCAAGUGUCUGCCUUAUCAACUGUCGAUGGUAGGUUAUGUGCCUACCAUGGUUGUAACGGGUAACGGGGAAUCAGGGUUCGAUUCCGGAGAGGGAGCCUGAGAAACGGCUACCACAUCCAAGGAAGGCAGCAGGCGCGCAAAUUACCCACUCCCGGCACGGGGAGGUAGUGACGAAAAAUAACAAUACGGGACUCUAAAGAGGCCCCGUAAUUGGAAUGAGUACACUCUAAACCCUUUAACGAGGAUCUAUUGGAGGGCAAGUCUGGUGCCAGCAGCCGCGGUAAUUCCAGCUCCAAUAGCGUAUAUUAAAGUUGUUGCGGUUAAAAAGCUCGUAGUUGGAUCUCAGUCGUGCCUACGCCGAUGCGUCGAAAGGCGUUCUAUUGGCGUGGCCGGCAAACGGUCGGUCGCCUCGGUUGGCCUUAAAAAGCUGAUCGGGUUGCCCGGCACCUUUACUUUGAAAAAAUUAGAGUGCUCAAAGCAGGCCGGUGCCUGAAUACUGGUGCAUGGAAUAAUGGAAUAGGACCUCGGUUCUAUUUUGUUGGUUUUUGGAACGCGAGGUAAUGAUUAAGAGGGACGGACGGGGGCAUUCGUAUUGCGGCGCUAGAGGUGAAAUUCUUGGACCGCUGCAAGACGAACUACUGCGAAAGCAUUUGCCAAGAAUGUUUUCAUUAAUCAAGAACGAAAGUUAGAGGUUCGAAGGCGAUCAGAUACCGCCCUAGUUCUAACCAUAAACGAUGCCAACCAGCGAUCCGCCCGAGUUCUUCAAACGACUCGGCGGGCAGCUUACGGGAAACCAAAGUUUUUGGGUUCCGGGGGAAGUAUGGUUGCAAAGCUGAAACUUAAAGGAAUUGACGGAAGGGCACCACCAGGAGUGGAGCCUGCGGCUUAAUUUGACUCAACACGGGAAAACUCACCCGGCCCGGACACCGGAAGGAUUGACAGAUUAAUAGCUCUUUCUUGAUUCGGUGGGUGGUGGUGCAUGGCCGUUCUUAGUUGGUGGAGUGAUUUGUCUGGUAUAAUUCCGAUAACGAACGAGACUCUAGCCUACUAAAUAGACCCACGAUCCGUGGUAUCGUGAGCAGGUCUUCUUAGAGGGACAGGCGGCUUUUAGCCGCACGAAACGGAGCAAUAACAGGUCUGUGAUGCCCUUAGAUGUCCGGGGCCGCACGCGCGCUACACUGAAGGAAUCAACGUGUGUCUACCCUGGUCCGAGAGGACCGGGUAACCCGGUGAACCUUCUUCGUGCUAGGGAUAAUGGAUUGUAAUUAUUCCAUUUGAACGAGGAAUUCCCAGUAAACGCACGUCAUCAGCGUGCGUUGAUUACGUCCCUGCCCUUUGUACACACCGCCCGUCGCUACUACCGAUUGAAUGAUUUAGUGAAACCUUCGGACUGGUGCAACUAGGGCCUUCCGGUUCUGUUUGCGCUGGAAAGAUGGUUGAACUUGAUCAUUUAGAGGAAGUAAAAGUCGUAACAAGGUUGCCGUAGGUGAAUGGGGACAGGCAACCUUGUUUCCAACUUUUACUUCCCCUUAAUUAAUCAAGUUCAACCAUCUUUCCCGCGCAAACAGAAACCGAAGGGCCCUAGUUCCACCACUUCCCAAAGUUUCACUAAAUCAUUCAUUCGUUAGUAGCGACCGGCGGUGGGAACAAAGGGCAGGAACGAACUCCCGCAAGCUAAUGACGUGCGUUUACGGGGGAAUU